AAGACCACCUAAACAAGGCUGCUAACCUUAUUAUAAUGAGAUCAUUUGGUCUUU
RNAcentral lists this transfer RNA (54 nucleotides) under Navis striatus. RNAcentral describes it as "Argas striatus tRNA-Ser". Lineage: Eukaryota; Metazoa; Arthropoda; Arachnida; Ixodida; Argasidae. The record is from RNAcentral.